RNAcentral lists this ribosomal RNA (1381 nucleotides) under Pedobacter roseus. Its description in RNAcentral is "16S ribosomal RNA". It matches the Rfam family "Bacterial small subunit ribosomal RNA". The record is from RNAcentral. Lineage: Bacteria; Pseudomonadati; Bacteroidota; Sphingobacteriia; Sphingobacteriales; Sphingobacteriaceae.
UGCAGUCGAACGAUAGAUAGAAGCUUGCUUUUAUCGAAAGUGGCGCACGGGUGCGUAACGCGUAUGCAACCUACCUUAAUCUGGGGGAUAGCCCGGAGAAAUCCGGAUUAACACCGCAUAAAAACACAGGAUAGCAUUAUCCAAUGUUCAAAUAUUUAUAGGAUUGAGAUGGGCAUGCGUGUCAUUAGCUAGUUGGCGGGGUAACGGCCCACCAAGGCGACGAUGACUAGGGGAUCUGAGAGGAUGGCCCCCCACACUGGUACUGAGACACGGACCAGACUCCUACGGGAGGCAGCAGUAAGGAAUAUUGGUCAAUGGAGGCAACUCUGAACCAGCCAUGCCGCGUGCAGGAAGACUGCCCUAUGGGUUGUAAACUGCUUUUAUCCGGGAAUAAACCUACUUACGUGUAAGUAGCUGAAUGUACCGGAAGAAUAAGGAUCGGCUAACUCCGUGCCAGCAGCCGCGGUAAUACGGAGGAUCCAAGCGUUAUCCGGAUUUAUUGGGUUUAAAGGGUGCGUAGGCGGCCUGUUAAGUCAGGGGUGAAAGACGGUAGCUCAACUAUCGCAGUGCCCUUGAUACUGAUGGGCUUGAAUGGACUAGAGGUAGGCGGAAUGAGACAAGUAGCGGUGAAAUGCAUAGAUAUGUCUCAGAACACCGAUUGCGAAGGCAGCUUACUAUGGUCUUAUUGACGCUGAGGCACGAAAGCGUGGGGAUCAAACAGGAUUAGAUACCCUGGUAGUCCACGCCCUAAACGAUGAACACUCGCUGUUGGCGAUACACAGUCAGCGGCUAAGCGAAAGCGUUAAGUGUUCCACCUGGGGAGUACGCCCGCAAGGGUGAAACUCAAAGGAAUUGACGGGGGCCCGCACAAGCGGAGGAGCAUGUGGUUUAAUUCGAUGAUACGCGAGGAACCUUACCCGGGCUUGAAAGUUAGUGAAUGAUCUAGAGAUAGAUCAGUCCGCAAGGACACGAAACUAGGUGCUGCAUGGCUGUCGUCAGCUCGUGCCGUGAGGUGUUGGGUUAAGUCCCGCAACGAGCGCAACCCCUAUGUUUAGUUGCCAGCACGUCAUGGUGGGGACUCUAAACAGACUGCCUGUGCAAACAGAGAGGAAGGAGGGGACGACGUCAAGUCAUCAUGGCCCUUACGUCCGGGGCUACACACGUGCUACAAUGGAUGGUACAGAGGGCAGCUACAUAGCAAUAUGAUGCGAAUCUCACAAAGCCAUUCACAGUUCGGAUUGGGGUCUGCAACUCGACCCCAUGAAGUUGGAUUCGCUAGUAAUCGCGUAUCAGCAAUGACGCGGUGAAUACGUUCCCGGGCCUUGUACACACCGCCCGUCAAGCCAUGGAAGCUGGGGGUACCUAAAGUAUGAACCGCAAG